RNAcentral lists this ribosomal RNA (497 nucleotides) under uncultured bacterium. Its description in RNAcentral is "partial 16S ribosomal RNA". It matches the Rfam family "Bacterial small subunit ribosomal RNA", at positions 28 to 507 of the family's 1533-position model. The record is from RNAcentral.
GAUGAACGCUGGCGGCGUGCCUAAUACAUGCAAGUCGAGCGAACAGACGAGGAGCUUGCUCCUCUGACGUUAGCGGCGGAAGGGUGAGUAAAACGUGGAUAACCUACCUAUAAGACUGGGAUAACUUCGGGAAACCGGAGCUAAUACCGGAUAAUAUAUUGAACCGCAUGGUUCAAUAGUGAAAGACGGUUUUGCUGUCACUUAUAGAUGGAUCCGCGCCGCAUUAGCUAGUUGGUAAGGUAACGGCUUACCAAGGCAACGAUGCGUAGCCGACCUGAGAGGGUGAUCGGCCACACUGGAACUGAGACACGGUCCAGACUCCUACGGGAGGCAGCAGGAGGGAAUCUUCCGCAAUGGGCGAAAGCCUGACGGAGCAACGCCGCGUGAGUGAUGAAGGUCUUCGGAUCGUAAAACUCUGUUAUUAGGGAAGAACAAAUGUGUAAGUAACUAUGCACGUCUUGACGGUACCUAAUCAGAAAGCCACGGCUAACUACGUG